GGAUGUGGGUGUGAUUUGGCUGUAAUAUGUCACCUCAUUGAUUAAUAGGGUUGAUUGGGGUAGCCUGGCUGGCUAAAUGAGUCCCCUUCCUCCCUCAGUGCUCCAUGUGUGUCUCUCCUGAAGCUAUGUGCUCUGGUGAAGAGGACGACCUUCUCCAGGGAGGUCCAUUCCUUGAUUAGGGGCUUAUGAGUAUCUAUGCUUCCCUGCCAGACUCUCCAAACAAGCUCUCAGUGGUGUAAAUGUAUGAUGAUGCCCAGACUAGGAUGAG
RNAcentral lists this small nuclear RNA (268 nucleotides) under Nannospalax galili (Upper Galilee mountains blind mole rat). RNAcentral's name for it is "7SK RNA (ENSNGAG00000003507.1)". It matches the Rfam family "7SK RNA", at positions 1 to 278 of the family's 331-position model. Rfam says of the family: 7SK was discovered as an abundant small nuclear RNA in the mid-70s but a possible function has only recently been suggested. Lineage: Eukaryota; Metazoa; Chordata; Mammalia; Rodentia; Spalacidae. The record is from RNAcentral.